This is a long non-coding RNA of Myxocyprinus asiaticus (Chinese sucker), 637 nucleotides long. RefSeq lists it as uncharacterized. The transcript has 3 exons. Lineage: Eukaryota; Metazoa; Chordata; Actinopteri; Cypriniformes; Catostomidae. The record is from RefSeq and is a predicted model, not a curated record.
GUCUGCAGUUGGAUAUUCUGGUUAGUCUGCAAGCCUUUGACUAUUCAGUGUAUGGAUUUGUGAAGUACACACUGCUGGCUACCAAUUGUGUACUUUUUUUUUCUGUUGUAGAGAUGGAAAGACUAUGGCUCCCUGCAUUUGAGGGCAUGAGCACACAGGAGGAAGAUCUGUUGGACCAGGAACUACUGCAGGAAGACCGGGACCACCAGGAGAUGGAGGAUGAGAUGGAACCUGAUCCCCAGCCAAGACCAUCAACUGGGUAUAUAUGAAUGUAAUCAUUUUUUCCCACAUGACCAGACUCAACUCGUCUUCUGAGAUUAUAAAAGCAUCCUGCAAGACUUAUAAUGAGACUAUGAGGAAGAAGUAUUCCUAUGUUCAUCCUGGAAGAGGCAGAGCUGAGAGACUCAAUCAAGAUUAUGGCAGAGAGAGAGGAGUAAAUUUAAAAUCGAUUAUACAGUUAAUGUUUCGCGGUUGCUGGAGACCAGGUCAACAGAGACAGACACAGGCGUAUUGUGUAUUCGGUCACACUUUAUAUUAGGUGUCCUUAACUACUAUGUACUAACAUUAAAUACAUACAAGACUAUGUAUUUACUGUGUAACUACAUGUUGUUCUGCAAAAUUCCCACAUUUACUGCUA